This 497-nucleotide ribosomal RNA is filed under the name uncultured bacterium. RNAcentral describes it as "partial 16S ribosomal RNA". It matches the Rfam family "Bacterial small subunit ribosomal RNA", at positions 28 to 507 of the family's 1533-position model. The record is from RNAcentral.
GAUGAACGCUGGCGGCGUGCCUAAUACAUGCAAGUCGAGCGAACGGACGAGAAGCUUGCUUCUCUGAUGUUAGCGGCGGACGGGUGAGUAACACGUGGAUAACCUACCUAUAAGACUGGGAUAACUUCGGGAAACCGGAGCUAAUCCCGGAUAAUAUUUUGAACCGCAUGGUUCAAAAGUGAAAGACGGUCUUGCUGUCACUUAUAUAUGGAUCCGCGCUGCAUUAGCUAGUUGGUACGUUGACGGCUUACCAAGGCUACGAUGCAUAGCCGACCUUAGAGAGAGAUCGCCCACACUGGAGCUUAGACAGAGUCCAGACUCCUGCGAGAGGACGCAGUAGGCAAUCUUCCGCAAUAGGCGGGAGCCUGACGGAGCAGCGGCGAGUGUGUGAUGAAAGUCUUCGGAUCGUGAAACUCUGUUAUUAGGGAAGAACAUAUGUGUAAGUAACUGUGCACAUAUUGACGGUACCUAAUCAGAAAGCCACGGCUAACUACGUG